Molecule: non-coding RNA, 30 nt
Filed under: Rattus norvegicus (Norway rat)
Lineage: Eukaryota; Metazoa; Chordata; Mammalia; Rodentia; Muridae
Source: RNAcentral
UAUAUAUGUUAUAUAUAUCUUUGUCAGGAA